UAACAAGGUCUCCGUUGGUGAACCAGCGGAGGGAUCAUUGUUGGAACGCGCUCCGGCGCACCUCCAGACAACCCUUUGUGAACUUAUACCUAUACUGUUGCCUCGGCGUCAGGCUGGCCCCCCUCGGGGGGUCCCUCACCAUCUCGGUGAGGAGCAGGCCCGCCGGCGGCCAAGUUAACUCUUGUUUUUACACUGAAACUCUGAGAAUAAAACAAAAAUGAAUCAAAACUUUCAACAACGGAUCUCUUGGUUCUGGCAUCGAUGAAGAACGCAGCGAAAUGCGAUAAGUAAUGUGAAUUGCAGAAUUCAGUGAAUCAUCGAAUCUUUGAACGCACAUUGCGCCCUCUGGUAUUCCGGAGGGCAUGCCUGUUCGAGCGUCAUUUCAACCCUCAAGCCUGGCUUGGUGAUGGGGCACUGCCUUCGGUAAGAAGGCAGGCCCUGAAAUUCAGUGGCGAGCUCGCCAGGACCCCGAGCGCAGUAGUUAAACCCUCGCUUUGGAAGGUCUUGGUGCGGCCCUGCCGUUAAACCCCCAACUUCUGAAAAUUUGACCUCGGAUCAGGUAGGAAUACCCGCUGAACUUAAGCAUAUGGGCAUUGUUGCAGGUCCGGUAUGCCUAGUAACGGCGAGUGAAGCGGCAACAGCUCAAAUUUGAAAUCUGGCCUCGGCCCGAGUUGUAAUUUGCAGAGGAUGUUUCUGGCGCGGUGCCUUCCGAGUUCCCUGGAACGGGACGCCAAAGAGGGUGAGAGCCCCGUAUGGUCGGACACCAAGCCUGUGUGAAACUCCUUCGACGAGUCGAGUAGUUUGGGAAUGCUGCUCUAAAUGGGAGGUAAAUCUCUUCUAAAGCUAAAUACCGGCCAGAGACCGAUAGCGCACAAGUAGAGUGAUCGAAAGAUGAAAAGCACCUUGAAAAGGGGGUUAAAUAGUACGUGAAAUUGUUGAAAGGGAAGCACUUAUGACCAGACUUGGGCCGGGCGGCUCAUCAGGGGUUCUCCCCUGUGCACUCCGCCCGGCACAGGCCAGCAUCGGUUCUCGUGAGGGGAUAAGACCGUCAGGAACGUAGCACCCUCCGGGGUGUGUUAUAGCCUGACGGACGAUACCCUCGUGGGACGUGAGGUUCGCGCUCCGCAAGGAUGCUGGCGUAAUGGUCAUCAGUGACCCGUCUUGAC
RNAcentral lists this ribosomal RNA (1166 nucleotides) under Diaporthales sp. CHTAF8. RNAcentral's name for it is "eukaryotic LSU rRNA". The stretch from base 546 to 1166 matches the Rfam family "Eukaryotic large subunit ribosomal RNA", at positions 1 to 658 of the family's 3401-position model. Lineage: Eukaryota; Fungi; Ascomycota; Sordariomycetes; Diaporthales. The record is from RNAcentral.